Molecule: long non-coding RNA, 732 nt
Filed under: Homo sapiens (human)
Lineage: Eukaryota; Metazoa; Chordata; Mammalia; Primates; Hominidae
Description: HSALNT0396621
Source: RNAcentral
UGUUUCCAUUUGUGAACAACAUAUAUGUGUGUAUGAAUAAAAUUUAUAAAUGGACAUAACCUUAUACACAAGAUUUAAAAUAACCCCUGGGCACAUGUGGGCCCAACCCAGAGAUAGCCCUUCCUGAAAUGACUGGAGCCAAGAGCCUGUCACGCUCGCGGUAUUCAGUGCAAGGUCUGAUCGCGUCUUCUGUCACUCAAGGCCUGAGGGCGCGGAGCCUGGAGCUCUAUCCAUUAAGGGCGCUGGGGUGGGAACUGUCCAAUCAGGUUCACAGUCAGAGAGGAAGGGGUGGCUCCCGGUACCUGGCGGGGCCUUUGUCUCUUGCUCCAGCCAGAGCUCGAGGUUAGCUCUUCACUGCCCUGUGUCUUCUUUCCAAGGGUCUCGGUGAUUCGGCCACAGCCUCAGCCUCCAUCACGCGGUGAACUGAUGGUGCUGGAAGAUUCAUAGACUCCAGGACAUUCCUGAAGCCGAGAAAAGGUUAAGUAGGGUCUGGCCUGGAAUACUCUCCUAGAUGAAGAUAGCCCAACCAUGAGCCACCUUCGAAGCAGAUGAGAUGAAAUUAAAGCUCUUCAACUCCUAAAGGCCCAGAGACUAUCACAAAAGAGGUCAGAAAUCCUGAAGGUCACUUUCUGACAAACUCAGGAACCCCAGGUUUAUCUUGGAGCCUCAAGAGGAGAUAAAUUCACCCAACUCAGAAUUGGAAAAAACUACUUUAAACUUCAUAUGGAACCA